GUGACUUGUCUUGGGUGUCCUUGUACAAACAGAGAACUCGCGGGAUCAUCUGCUGCUUGCGGAUGUCUCUGCCGGCGCAUUAGCUAGUUGGUGGGGUAACGGCCCACCAAGGCGACAAUGCGUAGCCGACCUGAGAGGGUGAACGGCCGCACUGGGACUGACACACGGCCCAUACUCCUACUGAAGGCAUCACUACGGAAUCUUCCGCAAUGGGCGAAAGCCUGACGGAGCAACGCCGCGUGAGUGAUGAAGGUGUUCGGAUCGUAAGCUCUGUUGCAGGGAAAACGUCCGGUAGAGUAACUGCUGCAGAGUGACGGUACCUGACAUGAAGCCCGCUACUACGUGCAGCAGCGCGUAUACUAUGGGGAAGCGUGUCGGAUAUGGGCUAAGCGCCGCAGG
This 399-nucleotide ribosomal RNA is filed under the name Paenibacillus sp. SLGR8. Its description in RNAcentral is "bacterial SSU rRNA". It matches the Rfam family "Bacterial small subunit ribosomal RNA", at positions 173 to 541 of the family's 1533-position model. The record is from RNAcentral. Lineage: Bacteria; Bacillati; Bacillota; Bacilli; Caryophanales; Paenibacillaceae.